UACGGGGGGGGCAAGCGUUGUUCGGAAUUACUGGGCGUAAAGGGCUCGUAGGCGGCCAACUAAGUCAGAUGUGAAAUCCCCCGGCUUAACCUGGGAACUGCGUCUGAUACUGGGAGGCUUGAGUAUGGGAGAGGGAUGUAGAAUUCCAGGUGUAGCGGUGAAAUGCGUAGAUACCUGGAGGAACACCGGUGGCGAAGGCGGCAUCCUGGACCGGCAUUGACGCUGAGGCGCGAAAGCCAGGGGAGCAAACGGG
This 253-nucleotide ribosomal RNA is filed under the name uncultured bacterium. Its description in RNAcentral is "partial 16S ribosomal RNA". It matches the Rfam family "Bacterial small subunit ribosomal RNA", at positions 524 to 776 of the family's 1533-position model. The record is from RNAcentral.